This 497-nucleotide ribosomal RNA is filed under the name uncultured bacterium. RNAcentral describes it as "partial 16S ribosomal RNA". It matches the Rfam family "Bacterial small subunit ribosomal RNA", at positions 28 to 507 of the family's 1533-position model. The record is from RNAcentral.
GAUGAACGCUGGCGGCGUGCCUAAUACAUGCAAGUCGAGCGAACGGACGAGAAGCUUGCUUCUCUGAUGUUAGCGGCGGACGGGUGAGUAACACGUGGAUAACCUACCUAUAAGACUGGGAUAACUUCGGGAAACCGGAGCUAAUACCGGAUGAUAUUUUGAACCGCAUGGUUCAAAAGUGAAAGGCGGUCUUGCUGUCACUUAUAGAUGGAUCCGCGCUGCAUUAGCUAGUUGGUAAGGUAACGGCUUACCAAGGCAACGAUGCAUAGCCGACCUGAGAGGGUGAUCGGCCACACUGGAACUGAGACACGGUCCAGACGCCUACGGGAGGCAGCAGUAGGGAAUCUUCCGCAAUGGGCGAAAGCCUGACGGAGCAACGCCGCGUGAGUGAUGAAGGUCUUCGGAUCGUAAAACUCUGUUAUUAGGGAAGAACAUAUGUGUAAGUAACUGUGCACAUCUUGACGGUACCUAAUCAGAAAGCCACGGCUAACUACGUG